AUUUAUAUAGUUUAAACAAAACACUCCAUUUUCAAUGGAGAAUUAAGAAAUUAUCUUUAUAAA
Molecule: transfer RNA, 63 nt
Filed under: Tuxedo bicinctus
Lineage: Eukaryota; Metazoa; Arthropoda; Insecta; Hemiptera; Miridae
Description: tRNA-Glu
Source: RNAcentral